This 254-nucleotide ribosomal RNA is filed under the name uncultured bacterium. RNAcentral's name for it is "partial 16S ribosomal RNA". It matches the Rfam family "Bacterial small subunit ribosomal RNA", at positions 79 to 334 of the family's 1533-position model. The record is from RNAcentral.
UCUUCUUUGCUGGCGACCGGCGCACGGGUGAGUAACACGUAUCCAACCUGCCCUUUACUCGGGGAUAGCCUUUCGAAGGAAAGAUUAAUACCCGAUAGCAUAAUGAUUCCGCAUGGUUUCAUUAUUAAAGGAUUCCGGUAAAGGAUGGGGAUGCGUUCCAUUAGGUUGUUGGUGAGGUAACGGCCCACCAAGCCUUCGAUGGAUAGGGGUUCUGAGAGGAAGGUCCCCCACAUUGGAACUGAGACACGGUCCAA